Molecule: ribosomal RNA, 256 nt
Filed under: uncultured bacterium
Lineage: Bacteria
Description: partial 16S ribosomal RNA
Rfam family: Bacterial small subunit ribosomal RNA
Source: RNAcentral
GACAGAGGUCCCGAGCGUUAGGCGGAAUCACUGGGCUUAAAGCGUGUGUAGGCGGAUCGUUAAGUACCUUGUGAAAUCCCACGGCUUAACCGUGGAACGGCUUGGUAUACUGGCGGUCUUGAGCCACUUAGGGGCUGUCGGAACAAACGGUGGAGCGGUGAAAUGCGUAGAUAUCGUUUGGAACGCCAACGGUGAAAACAGACAGCUGGGGAGUGUGCUGACGCUGAGACACGAAAGCCAGGGGGAGCGAACGGGG